This 388-nucleotide ribosomal RNA is filed under the name uncultured bacterium. RNAcentral's name for it is "bacterial SSU rRNA". It matches the Rfam family "Bacterial small subunit ribosomal RNA", at positions 28 to 417 of the family's 1533-position model. The record is from RNAcentral.
GACGAACGCUGGCGGCGUGCUUAACACAUGCAAGUCGAGCGGUAAGGCCCUUUCGGGGGUACACGAGCGGCGAACGGGUGAGUAACACGUGGGUGACCUGCCCUCAGCUCUGGGAUAAGCCCGGGAAACUGGGUCUAAUACUGGAUAUUACUCUGCGGUGCAUGCCGUGGGGUGGAAAGCCUUGUGCGGCUGGGGAUGGGCCCGCGGCCUAUCAGCUUGUUGGUGGGGUGAUGGCCACCAAGGCGACGACGGGUAGCCGGCCUGAGAGGGCGACCGGCCACACUGGGACUGAGACACGGCCCAGACUCCUACGGGAGGGCAGCAGUGGGGAAUCUCGCGCAAUGGGCGAAAGCCUGACGCAGCGACGCCGCGUGAGGGAUGACGGCCU